This 555-nucleotide long non-coding RNA is filed under the name Apteryx rowi (Okarito brown kiwi). RNAcentral describes it as "lncRNA (ENSARWG00000015712.1)". Lineage: Eukaryota; Metazoa; Chordata; Aves; Apterygiformes; Apterygidae. The record is from RNAcentral.
CUGCUUCUGCCAAGGGGGCUGCUCUGGUGUGCGACCUGCAUUCUCAUGCUCUCAGGUCCAGGACACACAGCUGAAGAGGCGCUAAUGCCUGGGAACAUUUCUGCAGCCAGAGACAGCAAUAUGUCAGCUUGCACUGCUGCCUGGCAAUCCGCCUGCUGCUAUUGUCUCCUUGGUGAGCUGGGACCAGUGCAACGGGGUUGACCUGGUGGUUUAUCUGAACAAAGACACGGCCAACAUCUGCCCAGCAUUCAGGGAAAAGAUCUCUCUGGCAGUAGAGUAUGGGAUAACGCUCCACUUAUUGGGACUCAGAGACACUGGGGAUUACUGCUGUAAAUUCCACACCUUCCCUUUUGGGAUAUAUGAAGGCAGGAUGUUCCUGGAAGUGACAGCAGAAUCAGCGCAGCCUGCCCUUGGCACCAUCCAUCCCUCUGUAAUCAUCUGCCUGACAGGAGAAGCGCUCUGUGCUGCAUGUCUUGUCUUCUGGCUCACCAGGGCCAAGAAAAAAACGAGGACAAUGCAUGUGUCGCCACAUACACCGUGGACGGUGCUUUCAAG